CCUACGGGAGACAGCAGUGGGGAAUAUUGGACAAUGGGGGGAACCCUGAUCCAGCGACGCCGCGUGAGUGAAGAAGUAUUUCGGUAUGUAAAGCUCUAUCAGCAGGGAAGAAAGAAAUGACGGUACCUGACUACGAAGCCCCGGCUAACUACGUGCCAGCAGCCGCGGUAAUACGUAGGGGGCAAGCGUUAUCCGGAUUUACUGGGUGUAAAGGGAGCGUAGACGGCGAUGCAAGUCUGAAGUGAAAGGCGGGGGCCCAACCCCCGGACUGCUUUGGAAACUGUAUGGCUGGAGUGCAGGAGAGGUAAGUGGAAUUCCUAGUGUAGCGGUGAAAUGCGUAGAUAUUAGGAGGAACACCAGUGGCGAAGGCGGCUUACUGGACUGUAACUGACGUUGAGGCUCGAAAGCGUGGGGAGCAAACAGGAUUAGAUACCCUUGUAGUC
Molecule: ribosomal RNA, 443 nt
Filed under: uncultured bacterium
Lineage: Bacteria
Description: partial 16S ribosomal RNA
Rfam family: Bacterial small subunit ribosomal RNA
Source: RNAcentral